GCAAGUCGAACGAGAAACCCUCUUCGGAGGUUAUUAAAGUGGCGCACGGGUGAGUAACGCGUAGAUAAUCUACCCUUUAGUCUGGGACAACAUCGCGAAAGUGGUGCUAAUACCGGAUAAUAUCUUAAACCGAAUGGUUUUUGAUUGAAGAAUUUCGCUGAAGGAUGAGUCUGCGUACCAUUAGCUAGUUGGUAGGGUAACGGCCUACCAAGGCAACGAUGGUUAGCGGGUCUGAGAGGAUGAUC
RNAcentral lists this ribosomal RNA (245 nucleotides) under uncultured bacterium. RNAcentral's name for it is "partial 16S ribosomal RNA". It matches the Rfam family "Bacterial small subunit ribosomal RNA", at positions 57 to 305 of the family's 1533-position model. The record is from RNAcentral.